Molecule: non-coding RNA, 73 nt
Organism: Pangasianodon gigas (Mekong giant catfish)
Lineage: Eukaryota; Metazoa; Chordata; Actinopteri; Siluriformes; Pangasiidae
Source: the annotation of a GenBank genome assembly
GCCUGAAUAGCUCAGUUGGUAGAGCAUGAGACUUUUAAUCUCAGGAUUGUGGGUUUGAGCCUCAUGCUGGGCA